Molecule: ribosomal RNA, 460 nt
Filed under: uncultured bacterium
Lineage: Bacteria
Description: partial 16S ribosomal RNA
Rfam family: Bacterial small subunit ribosomal RNA
Source: RNAcentral
CCUACGGGAGGCAGCAGUGAGGAAUAUUGGUCAAUGGGCGCGAGCCUGAACCAGCCAAGUAGCGUGAAUGAUGACUUCUCUACGUGUUGUAAACUUCUUUUAUAAGGGAGUAAAUUGAGGCACGUGUCCCUUUUUGUAUGUACUUUUUGAAUCAGGAUCGGCUAACUCUGGGCCAGCAGCCGCGGUAAUACGGAGUGACCGAGCGUUAUCCGGAUUUAUUGGGUGUAAGGGGAGCGUAGAUGGGUUGCUAAGUCUGUUGUGAAAGCUUGGGGAUCAACCGUGAAAUUGCAAUUGAUACUGGGAGUCUUGAGUACAGUAGAGGUAGGCGGAAUUCGUGGUGUAGCGGUGAAAUGCGUAGAUAUCACGAAGAACUCCGAUUGCGAAGGCAGCUGACUAAACUGUCACUGACAUUGAUGCUCGAAAGUGUGGGUAGCAAACAGGAUUAGAUACCCUAGUAGUC